This 631-nucleotide ribosomal RNA is filed under the name uncultured bacterium. Its description in RNAcentral is "bacterial SSU rRNA". It matches the Rfam family "Bacterial small subunit ribosomal RNA", at positions 53 to 681 of the family's 1533-position model. The record is from RNAcentral.
ACAUGCAAGUCGAACGGUAGAGUAGCAAUACUCGAGAGUGGCGAGCGGGUGAGUAAUAUAUCGGAACGUGCCCAGUCGUGGGGGAUAACGUAGAGAAAUUUACGCUAAUACCGCAUACGAUCUAAGGAUGAAAGCGGGGGACUCGCAAGAGCCUCGCGCGAUUGGAGCGGCUGAUAUCAGAUUAGGUUGUUGGUGAGGUAAAAGCUCACCAAGCCGACGAUCUGUAGCUGGUUUGAGAGAACGACCAGCCACACUGGGACUGAGACACGGCCCAGACUCCUACGGGAGGCAGCAGUGGGGAAUUUUGGACAAUGGGCGAAAGCCUGAUCCAGCAAUGCCGCGUGCAGGAAGAAGGCCUUCGGGUUGUAAACUGCUUUUGUACGGAACGAAACGGUCUGCUUUAAUACAGCGGGCUAAUGACGGUACCGUAAGAAUAAGCACCGGCUAACUACGUGCCAGCAGCCGCGGUAAUACGUAGGGUGCGAGCGUUAAUCGGAAUUACUGGGGCGUAAAGCGUGCGCAGGCGGUUAUAUAAGACAGUUGUGAAAUCCCCGGGCUCAACCUGGGGAAUUGCAUCUGUGACUGUAUAGCUAGAGUACGGUAGAGGGGGAUGGAAUUCCGCGUGUAGCAG